UACGUAUGGUGCAAGCGUUAUCCGGAUUUACUGGGUGUAAAGGGAGCGUAGACGGCUGUGUAAGUCUGAAGUGAAAGCCCGGGGCUCAACCCCGGGACUGCUUUGGAAACUAUGCAGCUAGAGUGUCGGAGAGGUAAGUGGAAUUCCCAGUGUAGUGGUGAAAUGCGUAGAUAUUGGGAGGAACACCAGUGGCGAAGGCGGCUUACUGGACGAUGACUGACGUUGAGGCUCGAAAGCGUGGGGAGCAAACAGG
This 253-nucleotide ribosomal RNA is filed under the name Coprococcus comes ATCC 27758. RNAcentral's name for it is "partial 16S ribosomal RNA". It matches the Rfam family "Bacterial small subunit ribosomal RNA", at positions 524 to 776 of the family's 1533-position model. Lineage: Bacteria; Bacillati; Bacillota; Clostridia; Lachnospirales; Lachnospiraceae. The record is from RNAcentral.